RNAcentral lists this ribosomal RNA (1444 nucleotides) under uncultured Bordetella sp. RNAcentral's name for it is "partial 16S-23S ribosomal RNA intergenic spacer". It matches the Rfam family "Bacterial small subunit ribosomal RNA". Lineage: Bacteria; Pseudomonadati; Pseudomonadota; Betaproteobacteria; Burkholderiales; Alcaligenaceae. The record is from RNAcentral.
GUUUGAUCCUGGCUCAGAUUGAAUCGCUGGCGGGAUGCUUUACACAUGCAAGUCGAACGGCAGCACGGACUUCGGUCUGGUGGCGAGUGGCGAACGGGUGAGUAAUACCGGAACGUGCCUAGUAGCGGGGAUAACUACGCGAAAGGAAUUAAUACUGACACAUUACCCUUCGGGGAAAGCGGGGAUCUUCGGGCCUCGCACUAUUAGAGCGGCCGAUAUCGGAUUAGCUAGUUGUGGUAACGGCUCACUACAAGGCGAUGACCGUAGCUGGUUUGAGAGGACGACCAGCCACACUGGGAUCACACGCCCAGACUCCGGCCGGAGGCAGUGGGAAAUUUUUGGACAAUGGGGAACCCUGAUCCAGCCAUCCCGCGUGUGCGAUGAAGGCCUUUCGGGUUAAAGCACCCUUUGCAGGAAGAAACGGCACGGGAUAAUACCCCGUGCAACUGACGGUACCUUGCAGAAUAAGCACCGGCUAACUACGUGCCAGCAGCCGCGGUAAUACGUAGGGUGCAAGCGUUAAUCGGAAUACUGGGCGUAAAGCGUGCGCAGGAAGUCUGGAAAGAAAGAUGUGAAAUCCCAGAGCUUAACUUUGGAACUGCAUUUUUAACUACCGAGCUAGAGUGUGUCAGAGGGAGGUGGAAUUCGCGCGUAGCAGUGAAAUGCGUAGAUAUGCGGAGGAACACCGAUGGCGAAGGCAGCUCUCCUGGGAUAACACUGACGCUCAUGCACGAAAGCGUGGGGAGCAAAUGAUUAGAUAUUCUAGUCCACGCCCAACGAUGUCAACGAAUGUUAGGCCUUCGGGCUCUGUGGAAGGCAGCUAUCAGUGUGAAGUUGACCGCCUGGGGGUAUUAUCGCAAGAUUAAAACUCAAAGGAAUUGACGGGGACCUGCACGUUAGUGGAUGAUGUGGAUUAAUUGAUGCAACGCGAAACUUACCUACCCUUGACAUGUCUGAAUCCUGAAGAUUGUAGAGGUUUCGCAAGAACCGGAACACAGGUGCUUAGUACGGCUGUCGUCAGCUCAGGCCGUAGGCGUUGGUUAAGUCUCAGAACGAGCAACCCUAAUAGUUGCUGCUGUGUUGCACUGGGACGAGACUGCCGGUGACAAACCGGAGGAAGGUAGACACGUCGUCCAUGGCCUAAGUGGCAGGUCCAAUAUCAACAGCACAAUGGUCGGGACAGAGGGUCGCCAACCCGCGAGGGGGAGCCAAUCCCAGAGGCAAACCCGAUCGUAGUCCGGAUCGCAGUCUGCAACUCGACUGCGUGAAGUCGGAAUCGCUAGCACCGCGGAUCAGCAUGGCCGUGGUGAAUACGCUGCCCGGUCUUGUACACACCGCCCGUCACACCAUGGGAGUGGGUUUUACCAGAAGUAGUUAGCCUAAUCGUAAGGAGGGCGAUUACCACGGUAGGAUUCAUGACUGGGGUGAAGUCGUAACAAGGUAG